GACGAACGCUGGCGGCGUGCUUAACACAUGCAAGUCGAACGGAAAGGCCCUUCGGGGUACUCGAGUGGCGAACGGGUGAGUAACACGUGGGUGAUCUGCCCUGCACUUUGGGAUAAGCCUGGGAAACUGGGUCUAAUACCGAAUAGGACCAUGCGCCUCUUGGUGUGUGGUGGAAAGCUUUUGCGGUGUGGGAUGGGCCCGCGGCCUAUCAGCUUGUUGGUGGGGUAAUGGCCUACCAAGGCGACGACGGGUAGCCGGCCUGAGGGGGUGUCCGGCCACACUGGGACUGAGAUACGGCCCAGACUCCUACGGGAGGCAGCAGUGGGGAAUAUUGCACAAUGGGCGCAAGCCUGAUGCAGCGACGCCGCGUGAGGGAUGACGGCCUUCGGGUUGUAAACCUCUUUCGGUAGGGACGAAGCGCAAGUGACGGUACCUACAGAAGAAGCACCGGCCAACUACGUGCCAGCAGCCGCAGUAA
RNAcentral lists this ribosomal RNA (478 nucleotides) under uncultured bacterium. RNAcentral describes it as "partial 16S ribosomal RNA". It matches the Rfam family "Bacterial small subunit ribosomal RNA", at positions 28 to 523 of the family's 1533-position model. The record is from RNAcentral.